RNAcentral lists this unclassified non-coding RNA (259 nucleotides) under plant metagenome. Its description in RNAcentral is "partial contains small subunit ribosomal RNA, internal transcribed spacer 1, and 5.8S ribosomal RNA". The stretch from base 1 to 55 matches the Rfam family "Eukaryotic small subunit ribosomal RNA", at positions 1778 to 1831 of the family's 1831-position model. The record is from RNAcentral.
GGAAGUAAAAAGUCGUAACAAGGUUUCCGUAGGUGAACCUGCGGAAGGAUCAUUACUGAGUGAGGGCCCCUCGGGGUCCAACCUCCCACCCGUGUUUAACGAACCUUGUUGCUUCGGCGGGCCCGCCUCACGGCCGCCGGGGGGCAUUUGCCCCCGGGCCCGCGCCCGCCGAAGCCACCUGUGAACGCUGUCUGAAGUAUGCAGUCUGAGACAAUUAUUAAAUUAAUUAAAACUUUCAACAACGGAUCUCUUGGUUCCG